AGCGAACGCUGGCGGCAGGCUUAACACAUGCAAGUCGAGCGGGCACUUUCGGGUGUCAGCGGCGGACGGGUGCGUAACGCGUGGGAACGUGCCCUCUGGUUCGGAAUAACUCAGGGAAACUUGAGCUAAUACCGGAUACGCCCUUUUGGGGAAAGGCUUGCUGCCGGAGGAUCGGCCCGCGUCUGAUUAGCUAGUUGGUGAGGUAACGGCUCACCAAGGCGACGAUCAGUAGCUGGUCUGGGAGGAUGAUCAGCCACACUGGGACUGAGACACGGCCCAGACUCCUACGGGAGGCAGCAGUGGGGAAUAUUGGACAAUGGGCGCAAGCCUGAUCCAGCCAUGCCGCGUGAGUGAUGAAGGCCUUAGGGUUGUAAAGCUCUUUUAUCCGGGACGAUAAUGACGGUACCGGAGGAAUAAGCCCCGGCUAACUUCGUG
RNAcentral lists this ribosomal RNA (435 nucleotides) under uncultured bacterium. Its description in RNAcentral is "partial 16S ribosomal RNA". It matches the Rfam family "Bacterial small subunit ribosomal RNA", at positions 29 to 507 of the family's 1533-position model. The record is from RNAcentral.